AUUGAGCCUUUUCUUGUACUUAAAUGAUUGAAGUAAAAGUACGCUUUAAGUCACUUUAUUGAUGAUAAUUAUUAAUAUUUUAUUAGUUUCCUAAAAUAUCUUCAAUAUGUAUCUAGAAAAACGAUGAUUUUUCGCGUGUUGAAUUUUUGAAAAUCGUGUGAACAUCGAAUAUGAAUCACUCUGUAUCAACUACCUAAUAAAAUCAAUUGAAA
Cinara cedri is the source of this 212-nucleotide non-coding RNA. The record is from the annotation of a GenBank genome assembly. NCBI's taxonomy places the organism in Eukaryota, Metazoa, Arthropoda, Insecta, Hemiptera, Aphididae.